Molecule: ribosomal RNA, 200 nt
Filed under: uncultured bacterium
Lineage: Bacteria
Description: partial 16S ribosomal RNA
Rfam family: Bacterial small subunit ribosomal RNA
Source: RNAcentral
ACGCUCGACACCUACGGGAGGCGGCAGUGGGGAAUAUUGGGCAAUGGGCGCAAGCCUGACCCAGCAACGCCGCGUGAAGGAAGAAGGCUUUCGGGUUGUAAACUUCUUUUGUCAGGGAACAGUAGAAGAGGGUACCUGACGAAUAAGCCACGGCUAACUACGUGCCUGCAGCCGCGGUAAUCUGAGCGGGCUGGCAAGGC